This 492-nucleotide ribosomal RNA is filed under the name uncultured bacterium. Its description in RNAcentral is "partial 16S ribosomal RNA". It matches the Rfam family "Bacterial small subunit ribosomal RNA", at positions 29 to 507 of the family's 1533-position model. The record is from RNAcentral.
AGUGAACGCUGGCGGUAGGCCUAACACAUGCAAGUCGAACGGCAGCACAGUAAGAGCUUGCUCUUACGGGUGGCGAGUGGCGGACGGGUGAGGAAUACAUCGGAAUCUACUUUUUCGUGGGGGAUAACGUAGGGAAACUUACGCUAAUACCGCAUACGACCUACGGGUGAAAGCAGGGGAUCUUCGGACCUUGCGCGAUUGAAUGAGCCGAUGUCGGAUUAGCUAGUUGGCGGGGUAAAGGCCCACCAAGGCGACGAUCCGUAGCUGGUCUGAGAGGAUGGUCAGCCACACUGGAACUGGGACACCGUCCAGACCCCUACGGGAGGCAGCAGUGGGGAAUAUUGGACAAUGGGCGCAAGCCUGAUCCAGCCAUACCGCGUGGGUGAAGAAGGCCUUCGGGUUGUAAAGCCCUUUUGUUGGGAAAGAAAAGCAGCAGGUUAAUACCCCGCUGUUCUGACGGUACCCAAAGAAUAAGCACCGGCUAACUUCGUG